GAAGAAGAAGAAGAAGAGGGUUGGGAGGGGGGAGGAUAGCCAAUGCAUUCACAAAAUUAUAAUAAUGCCACUUAUUAAAAGUAAGAACUUUCUUCACGAGGAUAUUAAGGAAAGCAAAUUCAAGUGUAACCAGCCAGGCAGCAUAAAACUAUUGGGGCAGAAAUAGAGUAGAAUGACAAUGAAAUUCUAUCCAACAAUCAAUAACUUUCACUCAAGGGGAAAAAAGAGUGAAGAAAAAUUAAUUUAAACAAGGGGAAAAUGCUACCU
Molecule: unclassified non-coding RNA, 267 nt
Filed under: Hevea brasiliensis (rubber tree)
Lineage: Eukaryota; Viridiplantae; Streptophyta; Magnoliopsida; Malpighiales; Euphorbiaceae
Source: RNAcentral